Molecule: ribosomal RNA, 252 nt
Filed under: uncultured bacterium
Lineage: Bacteria
Description: partial 16S ribosomal RNA
Rfam family: Bacterial small subunit ribosomal RNA
Source: RNAcentral
UACGAAGGGGGCUAGCGUUGCUCGGAAUCACUGGGCGUAAAGGGUGCGUAGGCGGGUCUUAAGUCAGGGGUGAAAUCCUGGAGCUCAACUCCAGAACUGCCUUUGAUACUGAGGAUCUUGAGUUCGGGAGAGGUGAGUGGAACUGCGAGUGUAGAGGUGAAAUUCGUAAAUAUUCGCAAGAACACCAGUGGCGAAGGCGGCUCACUGGCCCGGUACUGACGCUGAGGUGCGAAAGCGUGGGGAGCAAACAGG